UACGGAGGGUGCAAGCGUUAAUCGGAAUUACUGGGCGUAAAGCGCGCGUAGGCGGCUUGGUCAGUUGGGUGUGAAAUCCCCGGGCUUAACCUGGGAACUGCAUUCAAUACUGCCGGGCUGGAGUAUGGGAGAGGGUAGUGGAAUUCCACGUGUAGCGGUGAAAUGCGUAGAUAUGUGGAGGAACACCCGUGGCGAAGGCGACUGCCUGGCCCAAUACUGACGCUGAGGUGCGAAAGCGUGGGUAGCGAACAGG
This 253-nucleotide ribosomal RNA is filed under the name uncultured bacterium. RNAcentral describes it as "partial 16S ribosomal RNA". It matches the Rfam family "Bacterial small subunit ribosomal RNA", at positions 524 to 776 of the family's 1533-position model. The record is from RNAcentral.